RNAcentral lists this long non-coding RNA (7272 nucleotides) under Homo sapiens (human). Its description in RNAcentral is "HSALNT0328953". The record is from RNAcentral. Lineage: Eukaryota; Metazoa; Chordata; Mammalia; Primates; Hominidae.
GCUGGCGUCUCCUCCGACCCAAAGGAGAGCUGUGGUGUAUGUGAGUGCGAGUGAGCGAGGCAGAGGCGGAGAAACUACGCGGUGUGGCUGCAGGUGGAGCCUUGGACCAACUGGCCAGCGCCGCUUCCUUCCACCAGGAUUCCUGGCCCCACCGCGCGCUAGGCGGAGGCUCAGCGGGGGCGACUCUGGCUGGAGCCCAGCCCUCACCUCCCCCACCCCCACAUCUGCUCUAGCUAGGAAAAAAAAAAAGAAAAAAAAAAUCCCGGACAGCAUUGCUGAGUCCUGCCAAAUCAGAAAAAUAAAUAAAAAUAGACGUAGUGCAGGAGCGAGUUACAAGAAAGGUUUUGUUCAUCGAUUUUCUUAAAUGGAAAAGUUUUAAAGGAUGAGGGUAAGUGAACGGCGAGCUUUUCUGAUUCUGAUUACUGUUAUCAAGAGGUAGAUUCCAGAAGCGAUGGACGCUCUACGUAGUUAGAUGAAUUGGAUAGAAGCCGGUGCGGUUAAAAAUACACUUGGAAGAUAAGAACACAGCUAUUAAUUACGCACAUACACACGUUAAUAAAGCAUGUGAAGUAAGCAAAUAAACUACAGUGCAGAGAAUGGCGUUUUUAACGACGGCGAUCUAUUUUAAAACUUAAUGAAGUUCACAUUUUGUGGACUGGUCUUAGAAAUAAGUAAACUUCAGAAAUAACACGCAUACAAUUCCAGUGAGAACCCAAAAGGUUUAUGGAAGAAGAAAAUCGCAACCACUUCCAAGGCGCUAUUGUUAUGAUCACAUGAAGAAUGGCAGGCACAGCCUUCUUUCACCACUUGAACUUUCAAUAGCUACAAAGUCUUGCAGUUACAGGCUUGUGCCAACUCGUCGGGCCACACCACGUUCCCCUCCCCCUGCCGCUGCGCCCCGAAAUCAACUGCGCGCCGCGGCUCUUGCUCCCCAAGGGGGCUUCGCAGAUGGUACGGAUCCUAGUCGCAACCUUUAAACAAAGUAACAUCGGGCGGCCCAGCAGUUCUCGGAGAGAUAUUUACUAGUCAUGGAGUUGGCUGAGAAAAGCAAGUGCGGAGAUCGGGGUCUCAGUCCCACUUAGGCCGAGUUUCUUUAUAUUGGAAACUGUACCUGUUCCCUAAUUGGGACUAAGACCACUAAUAAGUCCACGUUCCCUCUUUGGUCGCUUCUCUAAGUACAGACAUCUGCUUAAGAGGCUUCACGAAGAAUAAAUGCACAUGGGUCAACACCCAUUCCCCCCGCACCACUACCACCACCUGGAAAAGGGAGGAAAGUCCAUGUGAAGACACAGUGAGAAGGCAAGAAGGCAUCCAUCUGCAAGUCAGGAAAAGAGCCCUCAUCAGAAACCAAAUGUUGUGAGAACUUGAUCUUGGACUUCCCAGCCUCCAGAACUGUCUCACAUGAAGGAAGAUGUUCACCCUGAGGACAAGGCCCCUGCAUGCAUUCUCAGGACGUUCAUGUUUUCUUUACCCAUUCCCUUCCAUUCAAAUAGCUCUUGUCAGCGACCCAUUUUGUGAAUGGAGACAUUUCUGCUUUGAAGUCAUAAUUUAUCCUGCAAGAGCUGCUAAAAGAAGCACUUUUAAACUCAGAUCUGAGCGAAGGCUGGGAAUUGGUUGUUGCAAGUAGAAAAUGAGUCACAGAUGUACAAAGACAUUAGAAGGCUGCCUGCAACAUAGAAGCAAAAUGCUCCAGGAGGCUGACCUGAAUGACAUACAUCAGUGAACUCCUUUGGCCUCUGUCAGACCCACCAAAUCAGAAAAUCUUACACUCCUACAAGAAAUUCAUGGUAAGAUGAAAGAGCCACAUCUGGGGCUGGGCACCUGCAGGCACAGACCCAUUCACCUGCCACUUUUGCAGUAGUGUCUUUCCCUCAGCUCACACCCACAUCUCCGUGGGGGCAGGAGCCCCUAGGAUCGGCUGAUGAAGGAGGUAAAAGGCCAAACUUGGUUUACAGAGGGGUUGGCUCUUUAUAUGGGUAUAAGCAGUAUAGGGCCUGCUUACUACAGCUCUGUUCAGGGGUGGUCUGAAAGAAAGACUGAAGAGAAAUUCUUCUAACAAGCAGAGAUCUGGGAAGUGUACAUGUUUAUCCACUUCGUGUGCAAAGAGAAGUGGUGUACAGUAAGAACACAUGUGGGCUCAUUGUCAGUAAAAAAAAAAUGGCUUGUCCAGUUAACCAGAGCCAGGAAGGAGAAAGUUUGGAGGAUUAGGGUUGAAGAGACCUAGGGAAGAAGUGCGUGAAAGCCUCUUUGAGAGAGAUAAUGUGUGACAAGGUUUGUAUCAAAUAUUAAUGCUCAACAGAGAGUAUCUUCCAGGGAAAAGGCACUACAACCCAGUAGGCAAAAGGACCCAGCCAGUUGACAUCAGUCAUUGGUCACUCUGAUGCUAACAAAUGGACCUCACACCAUGGCAGCAGAGAUGGAAGCUAUGCAUAGAUCCAACAGCAUGGGCGCCCUCUUACUAAGACUGAUCUGCCACCCUGUAUGUCCAGCCUUGUAGGAACAUAGACCAAUACUGAGCCACUGAUUCAGCACAUCCUCUGUGGAGACCAACCAGCCACUUGGUGGCAAGAGAUUACAUUGGAACCCUCUCAUCUCAGAAGGAGCAGUGCUUCGUGUUGACUGAAUCAACAUGUGCACCAGAUACAAGACUCCCUUUUCUGCCUGGAAUAAUCUGCCAGUAUGACUCUCAAAAGGCUUAACUCACGGACAUAGGAUCCCAUGUAGCACUGCAUUGGAUUGAGAGAUAGAGAACUCAGUUAAAAACAAGGAGGUGUGGCAGUGGGCCCUUGACUAUGGUAUCCCCUGGCCUUAUCACAUCCUAUGUCACUCAGAAGUUGAGAUCUGAAAGAGUGAAAAAAAAGCUGCUUACUAGCCACUGAGGACCCAGCUUGGAGAUGAUAAGCUGUGAAGAUGGGCGCUGUUCUCCAGACAUAAUAUAUAUGUCCUAAAUCAACAACCUUUCCCUAGAGCUGUGUCCCCAGUAGAUAGCAAGUGCGAGUCUGGAAAUCAAAGAGUAGAAAUAGGCAUAGCUCGGCUUAUAUCACUUCAAGUGACCAAUGUAGGGAAUUUAUGCUUCUUACUACACUCCCAGGCUUUUGUGGUUUAGAAGUCCUAGUUUCUAAAGGGAGAACAUUUCCACCAGGAAACUCAGCAGGAGACCCAUUAAGCUUUAAGCUAUGCUUACUGAAUGUCGCUCAUGCCAAAGCCUAUCAGAAAAGGGAAAUAGCCUUCAUCCCAGCAGGAGUAAUGGGCCCUGAUGAUCAGGAGGAGGUGGGGCUGCUGUUACUCCCUGGGAUUCUCUUGGAACCCUCUUGCCUAAUUUCAACAAAAAAUGGACAAAUGCAGUGGUCAUGGCCUGAGAAAGGCUCAGAUCUUACUGUUGAAGGUGGAGGUGUCCCCAACAGGUAAGCCUCUUAGACCAUCAGAGGUGUUAGCCAAGGGUGAGGAGAAUCUAGAAUGAGUAGGGGAGGAGAGAAAUGAUGUGUGUAGUUACCUUGAAACUGCAGCAUGGGAGUUGGGGGGGUUCUGGGGCUAUAAUUCCUGUCACUGGCCUUCCUCUUGUUAAGUUUACCUAGGAAAACAGGCCAGCGAGAAUCUUGGAGGGGCUGUUCCCAAGUUUUGCUAUAAAAUGAAAGUGAAUCCAAGUGGCCUGGGGCUGAAUCUGAGUUCAUGCUGUGGGCACUGCCCAGAUGCCUUGUCAGAGCUAAGAUCAUUCUCCCAGCUACUGAGAGUGUGGGUAACCUGUGAUGCUUAGCUGAGUCCCUCUCCAGGAAUUGCCUUUAGCAAAAAAUGAGCCACCUCUCUUCACCCAGACCACACUCCCCUCCCCAGGGAAUGUACAGCCCAAUUCAGUGUGUGGUCAGUGCAGAAGCAGAAAGGCUCAAUUUGCCUGCAUCUAGUGAGACAUCUAGGAGGGUUCAUCCUACUCCCUGAACUCCCCAUGGGGUUGACUGAGGCCUUCGUCACAACUUCAUUGCAGUUCAUACCUCCCUUUGCCCCAUCCCACUUCUUUCAUUCUGCAUGGGCAUCGAUCUUGAUCGAGGCCACUCCCCAGAACACUCCCUGCCUGCAUGUCUCUCUCAGGAGUCUGCUGCCUGGGGGUUGGAUUUAAGACACAUGCUGGUCUUCCCCUAGGAGUAAUUUCCCUGUCCACACUUUUGAUCAAAUUUCCUUGAAUUAUCUUAAUUUGAGUGUGCCCUCUGAAUUUUGAUGGGAUCUGGACUGACGGGGCAGGGUAUUGGGCUAGGGACAUGACUGGCAGGUAAGUCUGCCUAAUUCUGAGGCUCAGUAUUAGUAGGACUCUUUACUGACACAUGGAAUUUGUAUUCUCAAACGUACCAAAAUCAGCUUACUAAAGAUAUUUUGGUCUCCACCUUAAUUCUUUGUUUGUUAAAAGUAAUGGCAAAAACCACAAUUCCUUUUGUACCGACCUAAUCAACUAUUCAGAACCUGAAUGGAAGCCACUCCUUGGUGGUUCCCUUAGAAACCUCAGCCCCAUCCAGAGCCCUUGUAUCAGAUUUGGAUGGAAAGGGCAUGUGUUUAGCCCGUUCAAGGGUGACUUUUAGACAGUCCUCUCUCUCUCUCUGUGUGUGUGUGUGUGUGUGUGUGUGUGUGUGUGUGUGUGUGUGUGUAGGUUCAGCCUUUUCUCACUAAGACAGUUAUUUUCACCCAUAGGCAGGCACCCUGAUGGGAGAGGCAGGAUGAAUGGAUCUCUUUGAUACUCAAAGUUUUUUAAGCCAUUGAUGUGUUAUGUGUCUAAAAUAAUAUUCUUUUUUGAAAAAUUAUUGUUUCAUGAUAUGAUUAAUAAAUUAUUUUCUUUGUUAAAUAUCGAUUAAAAAUUAUAUUAAUAAUUAUGUUAAUAAUUAAGAAUUAUAGAUAAGGAUAAAAUUCCUUUUGACUGUUACAGCAGUCCACUCCCAAGAGAAUAAACUGUUACCUUCCAGACCUUUUCAAAAUUGACAGGAUCUAUUUAAAGUCCUGUAUUUUAUUUGACCAGAAAAUUCUAUUUUUCAGAUGUUACAUUUAAGAAAACUUCUUGAAUGUACAUGACAAAGAAUGAACAAGCAUAUUUAUUGCAACAUUGUUUAUAAUAGCAAUAAAGGUAAGCAACUUAAUAGGGGACUAAAUAAAUUGUGGUAUAUUUUUACAAUGACAGAGUAUACAGUAGUAAAAACAGUGAGGUGGAGCCCUAAGUGCUAACUUGGAAAAAGCUUCAGGAAAUAUCACUGAGUGAAAAAGGAGAUUGCAGAAUGAUAAAUGUAAUGUGAUGCAUUUUAUCAGGGCUAUUUAGGAAAAUUAUGGCCUAAUAGAAAUGACCUGGGCUGAGUGAGAGGAGCAGAAAUGGGGAGAGUGAUUAUUGCCCCUCGCUUGCUUUGCCUCCUUUAGCCAUUUCUUCCUGUUCUCUCAAUCAUUCUUUCCCCUCUUUCACUCCACAUUCUUUCCUUUCUUCAUCACUUCUUUUCAUAGUUAAAAUUGAAGCCAAGUCUACCCUCUAGGAAUUGUAUGUGUUUGUGCUCAUUAACAACCAGUUGAACUCUGUUGAUUAGCAAUAUGGUCAAUCCAAACUGGUUGUUAAAGUGUCAAAAUAAAUGGAUCCAAUACCUGCACCCGGGCUCACAUGAUCUCGUUGAUGAAUAAUUAAUAUAGCCUCAAUAUGAUGCAUUAUAUGGAAACCUGCCUGCUUUGGCUACUGUGAAAGCUUAAAAAUAAACCAACCACUUGACAAAGUUACAAAAAAAUAUAUAAAAAAGAAAUUUGCAGUAUGGGUUGAAUGAAUAAUAAAUAUAUAGUGUUUGCAUUAAAGAAAGUACCAGUGGCAUUGUACUUUGUGUUAUUAUUAGAGUGUGUAGAUUAUUUGAUUUGAAGAAUUCUAGUUUAAUGACUUCCUUUUGCACUGAAGGAAAUAGUGGCCCAGGGAAGUAAGGUCGUAAAGCAGGCCUGUUCAGUGGUCUUCCGGUAACACACUUUGUAGGUAAUAGAGAUGGUCAUUCUCCUUUCCUUUCGGAAUAGUUCCAUCUCUCUCUGCUAUGGUAGGAACCAAAUGUGUGGAUCCUCUUUUACUCAUAGGUCUGUAUCUGGGGCACAAGCCUUAUGGCGUGGAUAGAAAUGGCUGACACAGUGCUGAAUUGGCUUAGGAAAAGGAAGACCGAUGCUGGGUUUCUCUGGAGCUCUGUGUCAUAGUUUGAAGAUGACUCCAAUGCCAGAGCCUCUGGGAACAAAAUAAUAUGAGAAAUGAUCACAGAAGCGGUCAUUUUAAGCUAGAAGAAACUCAGAAGAAGGGUUACCAGAUUCUUACAAAGCAUCUAAUUAAACAUGAAUUUUAGAUAAACAAUGAAUACUUUUAAAGUAUAAUUAUACCCCAGAUAUUGCAUGGAACAAACUUAUACUAAAAAUUAUUCAUUUCUUAUCUAAAUUCAAAUUAAUUGGGUCUCAAGUGUUUUUAUUUGUUAAGUCUGUCUAGCCCAACAAGAUCUAUGUUGAAAUAUGUAACUCAAAAUGUCUUAUAACCUGAAGAACACACUAUUCUCUAUGUUUCUUUGUCUCUUUGACCCCAACGUUUUAAAUUAUGACCAAUACUUUAAACUCCAAAGGUAUUGGAUAUUAGAUCAAUUCAAGGACAAAUUUUGUAAAAACUGGAGUGUUCUGCAGCAGAACAGAUUGCCUCAAAAAUAGUGAAUUCCUCUGCCAAGGAUACGCCUGUAUCAACAUUUGUAAUGACAAAAAACUGGGAGAAACAUAAAAGGUCAUGAAUAAGCGACUGUUUAAAAAAAAUUAGGGACACGUCUACGCAAUGGAAUUCUCUACAGAUUUUUUUUCUAGCCUCAGCUGCUGUUAUAAUAGGACUGUCACCACUGUCAUAACCUGACCAAUCAACUAGUUUCCCAACAGACAAGCUGGUCUUUCUGAAACCUUAGAAGCAUUCAUCAUGCACUUCAGAAUGGUUUUCUGUCUGUACAUAAUGGGGAUUUCCAAGCAGAUCUUUAAGUAAAAAAAGCAUAACAAGCAGUAUGCAUGUUGACAUAGUUUGGGUGUUUGUUGAAAUGUGAUCCUUAACAUUGCAGGUGGGGCCUGGUGGAAGGUGAUAGGGACAUGCGGGUGAAUCCUUCAUGAAUGGCUUGGUGCCAUCCUUGUUCCCCUCUCUCUUGCUCCUGCUCUGGCCAUGUGACGCAUCUGUUCCCCCUUCUCUUCCGCUGUGACUAAAAGCUUCUUGAGGCUCUCACCAGAAGCAGACGCUGAUGCCAUGCUUCUUAUACAGCCUGCAGAACCAUCAGC